UGGCGGCAGUAGCGCGGUGGUCCCACCUGACCCCAUGCCGAACUCAGAAGUGAAACGCCGUAGCGCCGAUGGUAGUG
This 77-nucleotide ribosomal RNA is filed under the name Escherichia coli 3-020-07_S1_C1. RNAcentral also lists the same sequence under 2 other names. Lineage: Bacteria; Pseudomonadati; Pseudomonadota; Gammaproteobacteria; Enterobacterales; Enterobacteriaceae. The record is from RNAcentral.